RNAcentral lists this ribosomal RNA (1226 nucleotides) under Serratia marcescens. RNAcentral's name for it is "partial 23S ribosomal RNA". It matches the Rfam family "Bacterial large subunit ribosomal RNA", at positions 1618 to 2823 of the family's 2925-position model. Lineage: Bacteria; Pseudomonadati; Pseudomonadota; Gammaproteobacteria; Enterobacterales; Yersiniaceae. The record is from RNAcentral.
CCUCUAAGCUCCAGGUAACAUUAAAUCGUACCCCAAACCGACACAGGUGGUCAGGUAGAGAAUACCAAGGCGCUUGAGAGAACUCGGGUGAAGGAACUAGGCAAAAUGGUGCCGUAACUUCGGGAGAAGGCACGCUGGCAUGUAGGUGAAGUCCCUUGCGGAUGGAGCUGAAGCCAGUCGAAGAUACCAGCUGGCUGCAACUGUUUAAUAAAAACACAGCACUGUGCAAACACGAAAGUGGACGUAUACGGUGUGACGCCUGCCCGGUGCUGGAAGGUUAAUUGAUGGGGUCAGCCGCAAGGCGAAGCUCUUGAUCGAAGCCCCAGUAAACGGCGGCCGUAACUAUAACGGUCCUAAGGUAGCGAAAUUCCUUGUCGGGUAAGUUCCGACCUGCACGAAUGGCGUAAUGAUGGCCAGGCUGUCUCCACCCGAGACUCAGUGAAAUUGAACUCGCUGUGAAGAUGCAGUGUACCCGCGGCAAGACGGAAAGACCCCGUGAACCUUUACUAUAGCUUGACACUGAACAUUGAGCCUUGAUGUGUAGGAUAGGUGGGAGGCUUUGAAGCGUGGACGCCAGUCUGCGUGGAGCCAUCCUUGAAAUACCACCCUUUAAUGUUUGAUGUUCUAACUCGGCCCCAUAAUCUGGGGUGAGGACAGUGUCUGGUGGGUAGUUUGACUGGGGCGGUCUCCUCCCAAAGAGUAACGGAGGAGCACGAAGGUUAGCUAAUCACGGUCGGACAUCGUGAGGUUAGUGCAAAGGCAUAAGCUAGCUUGACUGCGAGAGUGACGGCUCGAGCAGGUACGAAAGUAGGUCUUAGUGAUCCGGUGGUUCUGAAUGGAAGGGCCAUCGCUCAACGGAUAAAAGGUACUCCGGGGAUAACAGGCUGAUACCGCCCAAGAGUUCAUAUCGACGGCGGUGUUUGGCACCUCGAUGUCGGCUCAUCACAUCCUGGGGCUGAAGUAGGUCCCAAGGGUAUGGCUGUUCGCCAUUUAAAGUGGUACGCGAGCUGGGUUUAGAACGUCGUGAGACAGUUCGGUCCCUAUCUGCCGUGGGCGUUGGAAGAUUGAGAGGGGUUGCUCCUAGUACGAGAGGACCGGAGUGAACGCACCACUGGUGUUCGGGUUGUCAUGCCAAUGGCAUUGCCCGGUAGCUAAGUGCGGAAAAGAUAAGCGCUGAAAGCAUCUAAGCGCGAAACUUGCCUCAAGAUGAGUCUUCCCUGGGCCUU